CUUCCCGGGGAAACUCGAGUCCUGAAUUUCCUCGGAGCGCUCCCCGGCGGCCGCGGCCAACGGAUGUGACGAGGCGCAUCUGAUACCGAGGAAAGUUUCGGGAACCCUUAAAGGGGCAGCGAGGGCCUGGCUGGGCUCCGGGCCCGGCGCGCCAGGGAGCGCGCAGCGGCGGGGCGCCCCGGCAUCGCGGGGCUCGGAGAGCAGAGGGGGAGCCGCCCGCGCGCCGGGGGCCUCACGGAGUCGGGAGUCCGCCUCCCCUCGUCAGAGGCGGGCGCCCUGCUUCAGCCGCCUUCCCGCGCGCCGACACCCCCUCCUGCCCAGUUCGUGCCCAUCCCUCCUCCCCCACCCCAUUUACGGCCCCUGAGCUAUUCUGAAGAGGUCUGGGUGGAGGCUGGGGUCCACGGGCUCGGGGAGGCAGGCGAGCGGGCGAGACUUCGGAGCCUUCUCCCCACAAGUCCCGGGGACCGAACGCUCGGCCUGCUGGUGCUGCCCCCCAAGCCCUCGGUCCCGGCGCGCACGAUGCCGGCUCGGAAGGCGGCGUCCGCAGCUGGCUUUGAGCGUGGAUUUCUCAGCCCUCAAUGCAGACAUUUAGGUUGGAAGGAGCAAAUCAAAACCAAGCUGGGCCUCCUCUGGGAAGACUGACUCCAGGUCUGGGGCAGAAAUGGAGCAGGGUGACCUGGGAACAUCCUGUCAUCCCAGAAAGCAAGAAUGUCACCAAGGACAUUCUUGGGCACUGGCUGCGGCAGAGCUGGGACCACUGAAGCAUCAUUAAGAGUAGGAACUGUAAUGGCUCAGAACACCUCAAUUAUGUUGAAACCUCUUCGUUCAUAAUGUUCUCUUAAAAUGUACAUUGUCUUAGAAGAAUGCUAAGGAGCCCAAAGCACUGUUUUUUGAAAACUGGCUGAAAAAAGAAAGCAUGACACAUUUAUUAUCCUAAUUUUCUGCACAAACUAUAGCUCAGUAUAACCAAGUAUUGAGGAAGGGAAAUUUCUCCUCGUAGCAGUAUUGCAGCUAGUGGAGGAAGGGCUGGAGGCACUAGAACAUGGCCAUCGUGCUGCAUCUAAGGAGCCCAUGGACCUAGGCACUGAGCACAUGUGGUCGAUGCACCACACACACAAAAGAAAGAGACCUCCCACCCUUCUGUGUGCCCUGAUGGAAGCCCACAGUGCUACCUGUGAAAUGCUCUUACCCCCAAAAUCAAACCUGAAUCUGACUGGGCCUCUAUAUCACAGGUUGGCAGAUGACAGACAUCCUGUUGGCAAAUCUGGCCUGCUUGCUUGUUUUUUAAAUAAAGCUUUACUGAAACACAGCCAUACCCAUUUGUUUUAGUAGCAGCAGCUGAAAUCAUACGGGCCUCGAAACCUAAAAUGUCCACUGCCUAACCCUUUAUAGAAAAGUUUACCAACUCCUGCUACACAUCAACAGUCCCCAAACCCUUAUCAAUCAAUUGUCAUAUAGGAACCUUAUUUGUAUCCUGAUUCAAACAAAAUGAAAAAGUUACUGAUGAGACAAUUAGAGAAAUUUAAACACUG
Molecule: long non-coding RNA, 1532 nt
Organism: Manis javanica (Malayan pangolin)
Lineage: Eukaryota; Metazoa; Chordata; Mammalia; Pholidota; Manidae
Source: RefSeq, a predicted model, not a curated record